ACAGACGCUCUUCAUUUACCGAUCCCAAACGCCUUAAAGUGUCAGUUGGUUUUCUAAAAUUUUCAUAAAAUAUAUUAACUUAUAAAAACAAACUGUUAUGGUGUAAAUAAUUUUAUUUAAAUAUCGCUGCAUAUUUGGCUGCAUAUGAAAUGUCUAAAAUGUCUAAUGGUUCACAUGAAUGUGAAGGCAAUUCGUAUAUAUGGGUACAAGGAAGCCUUCGCGGGUCUGCUUGUUUUGUAUAUGGAACAAAUUCCACCACCCGAGAUUAUAUAAGACAACAAUUCAAAUAUCAUAAUGAUUCACCCGAUGGAAUUUACGUUGAAGCCUCUCCUACCAAAGUUAUUAGUUUAUUGAGAAAUUACAAAAAAUACGAUAUAGCACACACGGUAUUACUGGAAACUUAUAAUUUCCUGUGGACUCUUGAACCAGAAACGUUCAGUUAAUACGAAACUUUUGAAUCUAAUGCAAUUAUUUGUAAAAUAGUAAAUGAAUUUUUCAAACUAAAUUUUCGUACACGCAGAGAAAUUUUAAGUAAAAAUUAUCCAAAAAAUUAGAUACUGUGAGGACAUGUAGAAAAUAUGUAAAUUUUUCCCAUGCACAUUGUAAAGUAUACUAGGUAGCAUGUAAACGAAGUGCAAUUCCUAUUAAUAACAUAGCAACAAUUUAGUUACUGGCUAGACAUCCUUACAGUACCAAAUUUUAUGGGUAAUUUUUACUAAAAAAUUAUCUGCGUGUAAUUAUCACGUAAAUCAUUAUUUAAAAAUGAUUAAUUACGUUGUUUUAAAUAUAACGUCUUUAAAUAUAACGAAUAUGUAUAUUAUUAUGAGACUGAUGUAAUUAAAAGUUUUUAAUUAAAAUCCGCGAUGACUGGAUUUUCAAGGACUGAUGUAAUCUCAUUAUCAACUUGUU
This is a long non-coding RNA of Microplitis demolitor, 909 nucleotides long. RefSeq lists it as uncharacterized. Lineage: Eukaryota; Metazoa; Arthropoda; Insecta; Hymenoptera; Braconidae. The record is from RefSeq and is a predicted model, not a curated record. The transcript has 3 exons.